AUACGUAGGGGGCAAGCGUUAUCCGGAUUUACUGGGUGUAAAGCGAGCGCAGGCGGUUUCUUAAGUCUGAUGUGAAAGCCCCCGGCUCAACCGGGGAGGGUCAUUGGAAACUGGGAAACUUGAGUGCAGAAGAGGAGAGUGGAAUUCCAUGUGUAGCGGUGAAAUGCGUAGAUAUAUGGAGGAACACCAGUGGCGAAGGCGGCUCUCUGGUCUGUAACUGACGCUGAGGCUCGAAAGCGUGGGGAGCAAACAGGAUUAGAUACCCUGGUAGUCCACGCCGUAAACGAUGAGUGCUAAGUGUUGGAGGGUUUCCGCCCUUCAGUGCUGCAGCUAACGCAUUAAGCACUCCGCCUGGGGAGUACGCCGGCAACGGUGAA
RNAcentral lists this ribosomal RNA (377 nucleotides) under uncultured bacterium. Its description in RNAcentral is "bacterial SSU rRNA". It matches the Rfam family "Bacterial small subunit ribosomal RNA", at positions 523 to 898 of the family's 1533-position model. The record is from RNAcentral.